AAAAAAACAAACCCUAAAUUUUUGUGUCCAACGUUUGACUGUCCGUCUUAUAUGAGUUUUUUUAUAAUUAGUAUUUUCAUUGUUGUUAGAUGAUAAAACAUGAUUAAUACUUUAUGCAUGACUUGUCUUUUUACUUUUUUAUAUUUUUUUUAAAUAAGACGGACGGUCAAAUGUUGAACACGGAAAG
This 187-nucleotide microRNA precursor is filed under the name Oryza glumipatula. RNAcentral's name for it is "MIR812 microRNA precursor family". It matches the Rfam family "MIR812 microRNA precursor family". Lineage: Eukaryota; Viridiplantae; Streptophyta; Magnoliopsida; Poales; Poaceae. The record is from Rfam by way of RNAcentral.